This is a long non-coding RNA of Dreissena polymorpha, 506 nucleotides long. RefSeq lists it as uncharacterized. The transcript has 4 exons. NCBI's taxonomy places the organism in Eukaryota, Metazoa, Mollusca, Bivalvia, Myida, Dreissenidae. The record is from RefSeq and is a predicted model, not a curated record.
AAAAAGCCGGCCCCUGCAUGCGACUUCUUCAACGGCAACUUCCAGAGAGUCGACUCGACCACCGCCAGCUGGCGUGCUUUGGGAACAGGAACGUUCUUGACUGCCAACAGGAGGGACUAUCUGAUCAGUGACAAUCCGAGCGAGUACCUUAUUUUCCACAUAUGCUAUGACCCCUCACAAAACGUGGCCAACAAAUGCCCAGUUUCGGAGACCUUGCUGGUCGUCAGGGACCGACGUCCCAACGUGGACGUGAAUCCCGUCGACGGCAUUCCCGACGGUGACCUUGAACUGACGAACACCGACUGGGCCAGUAUUGACCGAAAGUCGAGGUCCUGUAUCGGUGAAAGUCUUGUCAACACUGACGCCCUGGGUUGGGAGUGGUUCUGGAAAGGACCGGAAUGCCGUGCGCCAUAAAAGAGCCCAACGAUAAUUGUUCCGAAUCGCAUCUCUGCCUGUUGACUACCCACUUUAAAUCGCUGACAACAACAUCUUUUGCGUAUACUGAC